Molecule: long non-coding RNA, 2636 nt
Filed under: Sus scrofa (pig)
Lineage: Eukaryota; Metazoa; Chordata; Mammalia; Artiodactyla; Suidae
Description: lncRNA (ENSSSCG00025014374.1)
Source: RNAcentral
UUUUUUUUUUUUGGUCUUUUUGCCAUUUCUUGGGGCGCUCCCGCGGCAUAUGGAGUUCCCAGGGUAGGGGUCUAAUCAGAGCCAUGGCCGCUGGUCUACACCAGAGCCACAGCAACGCAGGAUCCGAGCCGUGUCUGCGACCUAUACCACAGCUCACGGCAACGCCAGGUCCUUAACCCACUGAGCAAGGGCAGGGACCGAACCCGCAACUUCAUGGUUCCUAGUCGGAGUCAUUAACCACUGAGCCACGAUGGGAACUCGUGAAAAUUUUUAUAAGUCAAGUCAAUACAACUGAUUUGCUGUGACUUAGGAGUCCUUUUCAAAGGUCUUCAGGGUCUAGGCCUUUCAUCUUUGGGAAUUUGUUUCUCAUGAAGGUGUUGAAGGGAAGGCGGUUGGAAAUAGUGGAAACUGGAGUCAGCUGCCGGCCCUGCCCAAAGGCCAUUCUCAUUUCAACUUUAACAAAACCAAAGCUGGGAGGGCCACACAACACUUACCUGGUUUGAAUUGGGCUCAUAGGUGCAAUUUGACAUCUCCUCUGGAGCCAUGGUCCUUUGUUGGGAUAGUCUUUGCCUUUGCCAUCUCUCAGGUUUUAGUUACCUUCCCCUGCCCCCUGCCUUGUUUAGGCCCCAGGCUAUAGUGCUCCUGGCUCAUGUCCCGGGCCCUACUCUGGCUCCUGCCAGGAAGGACCAUCGAUCGCAUCAGUUGACUUUAGUAAACCAUUUGAAUAGGAAGGAAGAUUUGGGGUCAGGGUAGCCUCAAGUUAGAGCGUGAGCAGCGUGGGUUUGUGGGGUCUCAAGAAUGCCAUGAGUGUUCUGGUGGUCCUGGAGUCAGGCUUGGGUAGAUUCCAGCUCUGCUGCUUACCAGUUGUAUGUCUGCAGGAGGCAAAGUGCUUUGCCUGUCGAAGCCUCGCCUUCUACCUCUGAGAGUGGUAGAAGGAUAAAGGGUUUUCAUGAGAUUGGGAACAUGCCCAGCUCAGAGCCCAGCACAUGGUCAGCCCUGUAGCUUUUGGGACUUAGAGACCUUGUGGACAUGCCAUGGUGGAUACUCCUACAAGUCAUGGCAAAAUGUUGUGUUGAUGUGCACUUUAUUUUUCCUGGGGAGAGGAUCCAUUACCUUUCGUGAGAUUCUCAACACAGACCACGACAGCGUAGGGACGCUGGUGUUCAGGGCUGCUGAGGAAGUUGUCCCAGCACCCAGAUGUUCACGAAUUGACACGCAGGCCCUCCUAGACCUGGAAGGGCAAAGUCGAGUUUGGUUCGUUCUUUCCGUCCCCGUCAGAACUUGACUGAUCAUAGAUUUAUGCAGUUGACCCACUUUCUCCAAGGGCAGAGCCAGUUUUCCAGGCGGUGCCGAUGUCAGAAUUGGAAAAGCAGAUUCUCAGUCAGCCAACGUGACCUCUGCAAGAAUGGCCGUGUUGCUGGCUUUCCAUUUGAAGGCAGGGAUAGGGGCAGGGGUAUGUGAUGAAUAACCCCAGAGGGACUGUGACGGUCACUGCUGAUGUUAUGACCAGAUGCAGGAGCGUCUAGAAGAGGAAGGCUGUGCCUCAUGAAGGGGCCAUACAGGAGAGCGUUUCUGGUGUUUGGUGCUGCGACCCCUCCCUCCACCUCCCUUGUGCACCCGGAGGGGGAUUUCUACAGCAGCGUGGAAGCCCGGCUCCUAGGGCAGUGGCCUUGGGCACAUGGCUGAGGGUUGUCUUUCACAGUCAACCCCUGUGCCCCUGUGAGUCCCUAACCACCCCUUCCCAUGUCACCCUUCCCUGGGCUGAAAACAUGACUCAGAAGAUUAAUGAGGCAAUGGGAAAAUACCGCAUCCAGUGCUCUGUCCCUCUGUUCCUUUCCCACAGACCUGAUCCAGAGCCAUCACAGAACUUGGAAAGGGCACUUGGCUUCUAGGGAACCAGCUAUUGGAAAUCUUUCACGACUCUUGCACUUAGAACACCCCCCAGUUGUGUCCUCAGUUCUGGCUCGUGUGCUUUGUUUAUGCAACAGGUGUUUUUAGAUGAGGGACUAGAAAUUGGUGGAGAAAAAGUCAGAUGGGUUCAAGGAUGGAUAGUGGGACAGACAGAUGAAUAGAUGUGUGAUAAAUACGAAUAGUCAAAUGUAAGGGACAAACUCUGGUCCACAUGGUGGCUAUCCAGGUGUUCAUUGUAAAAUGCUUUCAAUAUCGCUGUGUGUUUGAAGAUUUUAAUAAUCGAAUGUGGUUGGAAAUGAGAUGAAGUGUUCGGGUGUAAAAACUCUGGGGAUUUUGUGAAUUGGGGAUUCCACAUCUCCUCCCACCCUCCACCAUGGUUUCCCCAUUGUUUUCAAGUUCUGUCUUCAUGGCCUAGUCACUGUUAGGGACACUCGGGGGCAUGUUCUAAGUGAUGUGGAUACAAUAGUGGCAAGAGUGUCCUCUGACUGUGGGACACAUGCGCUUUCAUUAUUUCGAGGGCAGAUCGGACAAGCCCUUGUGAAAAAAGUUCUAUGUGGAGUUCCCACUGUGGCUCAGUGGUUUCAUGAAGUAUCUGGUAUCAUGAGGACUUGGGUUCCAUCCCUGGCCCUGCUCAUUGGGUUAAGGAUCCAUUGUUGCUAUGGUGUCAGCUGGCCCGGACUGUCGACCCCUAGCCUAGGAACUUCAAUAUGCCACGGGUGCAGCCC